Molecule: transfer RNA, 70 nt
Filed under: Sphaerodactylus townsendi
Lineage: Eukaryota; Metazoa; Chordata; Lepidosauria; Squamata; Sphaerodactylidae
Description: tRNA-Ala
Source: RNAcentral
GGGCUGUGCUCAGUGGUACAGCAUCUGCUUAGCAUGCAGAAGGUCCCCGGUUCAACUCCCAGGAUCUCCA